AGGAAGUUGUUGAGGAAGAACCGGUGGCCACACCCAAAGAGGAGGCCAAGAAGGGAAGGAAGGCAAAAAGUAAGAGGAGUGGCAAGAAGUCAAGGAAGCUGGGCACUGACAACGAUGCAGUCUCCAGGAAUAAACACCUGGAUAGAGGAUCUGUAAUUGAGCUCCUGGAGAAGAAAGCUGUUCAGGCUGCAUUCGGCCCAGGCAACAAGGAUGAGAUGGAAUACUCCUACCCAAUCCUCAU
This is a non-coding RNA of Oncorhynchus mykiss (rainbow trout), 241 nucleotides long. Lineage: Eukaryota; Metazoa; Chordata; Actinopteri; Salmoniformes; Salmonidae. The record is from RefSeq and is a predicted model, not a curated record.